This 253-nucleotide ribosomal RNA is filed under the name uncultured bacterium. RNAcentral describes it as "partial 16S ribosomal RNA". It matches the Rfam family "Bacterial small subunit ribosomal RNA", at positions 524 to 776 of the family's 1533-position model. The record is from RNAcentral.
UACGUAGGGUGCGAGCGUUAAUCGGAAUUACUGGGCGUAAAGCGUGCGCAGGCGGUUAUAUAAGACAGUUGUGAAAUCCCCGGGCUCAACCUGGGAAUUGCAUCUGUGACUGUAUAGCUAGAGUACGGUAGAGGGGGAUGGAAUUCCGCGUGUAGCAGUGAAAUGCGUAGAUAUGCGGAGGAACAUCGAUGGCGAAGGCAAUCCCCUGGACCUGUACUGACGCUCAUGCACGAAAGCGUGGGGAGCAAACAGG